RNAcentral lists this ribosomal RNA (496 nucleotides) under uncultured bacterium. RNAcentral's name for it is "partial 16S ribosomal RNA". It matches the Rfam family "Bacterial small subunit ribosomal RNA", at positions 28 to 506 of the family's 1533-position model. The record is from RNAcentral.
GAUGAACGCUGGCGGCGUGCCUAAUACAUGCAAGUCGAGCGAACAGACGAGGAGCUUGCUCCUCUGACGUUAGCGGCGGACGGGUGAGUAACACGUGGAUAACCUACCUAUAAGACUGGGAUAACUUCGGGAAACCGGAGCUAAUACCGGAUAAUAUAUUGAACCGCAUGGUUCAAUAGUGAAAGACGGUUUUGCUGCCACUUAUAGAUGGAUCCGCGCCGCAUUAGCUAGUUGGUAAGGUAACGGCUUACCAAGGCAACGAUGCGUAGCCGACCUGAGAGGGUGAUCGGCCACACUGGAACUGAGACACGGUCCAGACUCCUACGGGAGGCAGCAGUAGGGAAUCUUCCGCAAUGGGCGAAAGCCUGACGGAGCAACGCCGCGUGAGUGAUGAAGGUCUUCGGAUCGUAAAACUCUGUUAUUAGGGAAGAACAAAUGUGUAAGUAACUAUGCACGUCUUGACGGUACCUAAUCAGAAAGCCACGGCUAACUACGU